GACGAACGCUGGCGGCGUGCUUAACACAUGCAAGUCGAACGGAAAGGCCCUGCUUUUGUGGGGUGCUCGAGUGGCGAACGGGUGAGUAACACGUGAGUAACCUGCCCUUGACUUUGGGAUAACUUCAGGAAACUGGGGCUAAUACCGGAUAGGAGCUCCUGCUGCAUGGUGGGGGUUGGAAAGUUUCGGCGGUUGGGGAUGGACUCGCGGCUUAUCAGCUUGUUGGUGGGGUAGUGGCUUACCAAGGCUUUGACGGGUAGCCGGCCUGAGAGGGUGACCGGCCACAUUGGGACUGAGGUACGGCCCAGACUCAUUCGGGAGGCAGCAGUGGGAAAUAUUGCACAAUAGGCGGAGGCCUGAUACAGCAACGCCGCGUGCGGGAUGACGGCCUUCGGGUUGUAAACCGCUUUCGCCUGUGACGAACCGUGAGUGACGGUAAUGGGUAAAGAAGCAACGGCUAACUACGUG
RNAcentral lists this ribosomal RNA (468 nucleotides) under uncultured bacterium. RNAcentral describes it as "partial 16S ribosomal RNA". It matches the Rfam family "Bacterial small subunit ribosomal RNA", at positions 28 to 507 of the family's 1533-position model. The record is from RNAcentral.